UUCCCUCCUGGGAAGCUCCUUUCCCAACAGCCUCCAGCCUUGGGACGGGAUCUGUGCAUUGUGCUGAGCUGGUAGGGCAGGGCCAGGCAGCUGCCAAGUGGGACAGUGUGUUCCUCCCUACACCAGGCAGAUUUCUGGCUGAGAACUGGUGCAGCUGAUCCACUGUGCUCCAGUGGCACAGAAAGACAGUCAGAAGGAACCUCUGGUGGGCUUUUCCUUCCUGAGAAUCCAUCCUCUCCACUUUCCAGUUCUUCCUGCUCCACAUUGUCCAUACCCACUGUGUGAACUUCCCAUGGAUGUUUGUUCUGUAACCUGCCAUGUCUGCUCUCCCACAGGUGUGUCUGUGCAGGCUCAGGGCACAGCAGAGCCCGUUCCAAAUGCUGCUCCCUUUAGCCAGUUCUUGGCUGAGUUCACAACUCCAGAAGUAAAGCCCAGGAAGGGCUGGAGCAAAGACACUUCAGUCACUGAUGUUUUCUGGUCAGGGCAGUUCAGCUCUUUGUGUUCUCCUGAUUCUCACUGACUCUGAGAAGGGUCCAGGAAAACAAUUCUCUCCCAGUCCAGGCACCAACAUAAACUGGGAGGCUGCAGCUGGGAGCAGAAAACCCAGACCCAGCAGUGGGACCCAGCAGAGCUGCAGGGUCACUGGUUCCCACUGCAGCCACGCCAUGUCCAGGAGCAGCACAGCAUGAGCCACAGCCUGGCUGCUUCCCACCCCUGCUCCUGGCAGGAGCCUGGUGGUGUCUGAGCAUCUGCCCAGGCUUGUUCCACCCUGUGCUUCCCUGCUGGCAAAGGGAAGGAUAGGAGAGAGCUUGAAUCUAUCAGCCUCUGGAGAGAGAACCCCUCGUGCAGGCUCAGGCAGGAGGGCAGCAGCUCUGCUGCUCAGAGUGGCCUCUGGGCAGACACAGACAUUUCCAGUCUCUCUGUGACUCCUAAGGGUCUCCCUUUUACUCCUGGAGAGAUGCAGCCUUGAGUUACACUGCAUGGAGAGCACUCACUUUUGACAGGUUUGGGUUAAGUGGAGGCUUGAAGCUCUUACACCGACUAAACUGCACAGACCAGAGUGACCAGGGUAAUUUCAGGGCAACAGUCACUGGAACACUUGUGCUUUUUCCCUUCUGGUUCUAAAUGUUCAAAUUCUCACAAAAAUAUGAGACAAACUCUCAGUGGAAUGACUAUGCUGCUGAAAACAUUUGGAAUUUCCUAUUUCAUCUGGUUCUUUCUCUUUUUUUUAAUUAUUUUGAGGGCUUUUUACAUGAGAACAGAUUUACAUUCCUCUCUCCCUGCUGCUCACUUCCCACCUGAAAUCUUCAGCUGCUCUUUGCAGUUCCCAACACAAUGGUGAGCGAAAUCCUGAACGGAGCAUUCAAACUUGAGGUGAGGAAAAGCAACAGCAGCAGAUGGGCUUGUAAACAGCAGAGACCUGGCUCAGGCACAGAGGUCCUGGCGGAGCGGGAAGGAGCAGGAGGGUUGGUAAACACUGAGCAAUUUCCAUUUUCUGGGCUGAAAUGUGGGGAUCUGGGGAGGGGAGGGCGGUGUAGGAACAGCAGCUCUCCCUUUCUGGCACAGUCAGUUCUUCCCAGCAGAAGCUGUUCCUGUCAGAACUUGCAGCAAAUGGGAGAAGAUGGGAAAGUGGGGGACAUUUUCCAGCAUCAGGGAAUUUGUGGGUGAUGAAAACAAGAUUUCCAGCAGUCCUUUUGCACUAGUCUUGGUUUCUAAAGAGGUAUUCUGCUGUUUUCCUGCCAUUCUUCCCUUCCCUUGAAUUCCUUCUGAAACUCAGCAGAGUUGGGAAUAACUUCACUGAUACGAAAUUCCCAAAAGUUACCUGAAAGUGUGCAGCUGGACAGAGGAAAAAGAAACCCAGAGCAGAGUCCCCACGAGUGGAAGAAAAAAGCAGAAUAAGGAGGCUCAGUUCUGUAGUUUAUUGAGCCCAGAGGGAUUUCUACAAACCACAUGGCAUCAGGUGUCAAAUGAGGAAUGAAAACCAACGUGGAACAAUGGAGCAGCCUAAAACUCCCACAGCCCAGCGAGCUCCAGAAAUGUUGGAGAGGCUUAAAUGGCCCCUUAAUGGCCUGGUCAAAGUCCUGAGUCAUGUCAUGGGUGUUCUUUCCUUGGACAGGGAGACUCUGCACGUCCUGUGGAGUCCAGGAGUCACAGAAAACAGAGACUGAUGAAAGAUGGUUCCGGGCUGGGAUUUUGGAGAGGUUUGUGCUUGAUCUAGGGUUAAAGGGUUGUUGUUUCUGUUUUUCUUGGGGAUUGGGAGGGGAGAGGUUACUGAGUCCCUGAACCUUAAUGUAAAAUGACUAGAAUCUGGAACAGAUUCCAAAACAGACAUUUAGGGACUACUAAAUGUACAAAGCAGCUUGGAUAUCUAUCACCAGAGUUCAUCCAGUCCUGGAAAAAGCCUCUGAAAUGGGCAGUGCUUUAACAAAGUACAGAUGUCUGGGGACUCAAAAUACAAGGAAGAAUUAUGAGGAGGAAGAGAUAACACUUUCUCCAUUUCUUCGAGAGGGAGAAAAUGCCAGAAAGUUAUUAGUUUUAUUCCCAGGACUGUGGUAGCUGGACAAGGAUCCAAGGUUAAGGUGAUCCCCAUGACCUGACACUUGCAGAACAAGUGGGCUCCCUGUAUCCUGGCACGAGGAGUUCUAGGGAGAUCUGUAAUCCCCAGUAGUAACCUCAGAGGUUAAUUGGCGUCUGGAAAUGAGUUUAUUAGGUAGGUGGGCUAGAGGGGGUUUAAUUACGUGUUUAGAUCAGUGUUGCUUUAAGCAUUAAUUUUGCCUGGAAAAGGAAGGUGUAAUGUCAGGAGCGACACUUUCACACUGCUUAGAUUGAGCCAGGGGAGACUGGAGAGAGCCCACGGACUAUUGGGGAGGAUGGGAAUGAGCUCUGAGUAAAAGCAUCUCUUUGUUGUUUUGAGCCAAAAUUCCCUGGACUUCGUGUAAGGACCAGUUUCCUGAGAAUGGCACUCAGCAGUUUUUGGACAGUCAGGCUGUCAGAAGGAAUCCCUCUGAAAUACAUGUUGGAUUUCUUUUUUUGGGCCUUAUUUCUCUUUUCUGCUUUGUGUCAUAUUCUCCUCGCGGCUUUCCAGAGCAGAGUUACUCUUCCACUUGUUCCCUUUUGCCUCCUGCUGAGUCAAUUCUUUCUUUUCCAACGUUAUUUGUACUGUAGUCACUCCCAGAAUCUGGGAAAUCAUCCUCAGAAGUCUCCCCAUCUCCUGAGCUUACUGCCAACUCUCCCACUAAAGCUUUGAAUUCUUUGUUAUAAAGAAGAAUAAAAGGCCAGCAAAGUGCACCUCGACACCCAUUCAGGUGCCAUUACCCUGUAAUUCUUUAAAAACUCUGUGUGCAUUUAUAGUCACUGGGAAGUGCUGGACUGGGAAGCCUCUGGACUAAAUUGGUGUUAGCACAUGAAAGAGAAGCAGUCCUGCAUGGGGCAGCAGGCUCUGGGCAGGUUUGGUCACCAGCUCGCUCGGUGGGCUCGGGACAAUCAUUCCCUGCCUGUGCCCCUGCUGGCAGUGCCCAGCUCCAGCUGUGCCCCUUUGGAUGAGGGACACGCCUGUCCCACACCUGUGGAGCUGCAGCAGAGCCUGAGCUUAGCAGGGAAUGCAAACAGGGAUGAGAGGAAUGCCCAGACAGCAGGGCAGGCUUCCCAGACACGCUGUCCUGCGAGCAUGCUGGAACCCUGGGUGCUGCAAGCUGUCUCUGUUCCCAGGCCUCGGCUUCUCUCUGCCAGCCACAAAGGGUUCACCACUUCCAAAUACAGCGGUGAGGUGAACUGGCAGCUUCCCAGUUCCACUGGGAAACGGGGGCAAAUUGCUAAACUCACUUUACAAACUCAACCAAAGCCUGAUUGGAUCCUCCAUCCUGCCUGGAGCUGUGCCACCUCCUGCAAGUGAAAAGCUCCUUGGGUUUCUGAGCCAUCCCAUCCCAUCCCAUCCCAUCCCAUCCCAUCCCAUCCCAUCCCAUCCCAAACCAUCCCAUCCCAUUCCACACCCUCCCACUCUGCCCAUGCUCCAGCCUGCUCCAAUUUGCCAGCAGAGAAAUCAAUUUUCUCCCCUCCUCCCUUGUUUGAGGAGCUGCAGGCACAUCCCUUGGCUUUCCCUCUUCUCUGCAGGCUUUUCCAGAGCCCUUUCCUCCCUUUGUUUGCUCGUUCCCUGCACUCCAUCCCAUCUUUUGCCUCCCUCCCUGGUUUGAUACAGCAUCUCGCUGGUCCUGCCUCACACUCUGAGCAGGGGUAUUAGAUGGAUUCCCCAUAGAGUAUAAAUUGAAUGGAGAGAAGUGGCUGGUUUCCCAGCAAUAAUUUAUCUGAUUAAAAAAAUACUCCCCAAACUCCCCCUCCUCCACCGGUCCUGCGCCCCCUCCAAAAAGCACCACUGGCAUCAGGGUUGGUGUUUGAACUGUGUGAUUCAAAUUGCUGGAAGAGGGAUUUAGAUGGGAAAGUAACUGGCAAAGGAUGGUUCUCGGGGGAUUUUUCCCAGAGUGUCGGGGCUGGAACCCGGGUUGUUGUGUGGAGAAGGCAGAGAGUAAAUAAUUCUGAGUCAAGUACCUGGGUGAUUUGUACCUUUACCCACGUACCAAAUGGCGGCUGCACACGCGCGUGCUCUUGCUCGUGUUUGCCCACCACACGCACUGCACGGGGGAGCCCAGCUCCUGGCACAGCAAGCUGCUCCUGCUGUUCCCUCUCUCCUCUCUUUUCUUCUCUUACCUCAGGCCUGAUUCCAAAUAACAGAAGAAAUCUGCCUCACUAAAUGCAUGUUGCCUUGUUUGUUACUUGCUCGGGCUUCAAUCCUUCCAAACCAUUUUCUUCUCCAACAUUCCUGUUGUAAUUAUGGAAAAUAAUUCCUGUUGUAAUUAGGAUGGAAAAGUCACCCCAAGGCCCCUCUCAGCAGGGGCCUGGGCAGUGGGUUUGGUUGGUGCUUGUUCCUGUGUGGGUGACAGGCAGGUAUUUGCAGGUAUUUACAUCCCAGAGUGCUCCCAGACCGCCGGGAUUUACAACAGGGGCUCCCUGGUGCUGUCAAGGGCAGCACUGCUGCUGCCACCCGAGUGUCUGCAGGCCAUUCCAGGGCCUGGCGUGGCCCCAGCUCCCCGGGCUGCUGGCUGCUGGACAUUCCUCUGCUCACAGCUGCUUUCUGGCCACUGGGUGAAACACGGCCAGGCUGGAGCUUUUCAGCCUCGGAGCACCCUCAAGCCAGUGGCCAGGGCUCAGGUUUCCUGCGUUUUGACAGGAGGGCUGCUCAGAUAAAACCUCUUUCUGCUCCUUCUGGAGGAUUUACACUGCCACAAGUCCUCAUUUUUUCCAGAUGUUUUACCUAAUAAAUCAAGGAGUCUCAUCAGAGGAUUGGGAUCCAAAAGCUGUUACCAUGACUUCAAAGACACAGGCUGGAGUGGAAAGAAGCAGUGCAGACAUUUUAUACUACUCUGUAUGCACUGAUCAUGAAAAUACACUCUGCUCCCAGGAUUUUUUUUCCUGUGGAUAUGAGAACACCAACUAUGAUUAAAUAAAAUGGUGCUGUGCUCCUGCAGCCAACCUUUGCUGAAAAGAAUGGAGCUGCAGGAGCUUCGGGCUGUAGGGCUGGCAGGAACCAGGCUGGGGCUGGUCCUGAGAGGGGUUGAGCUCUGCCAGCCCCUGUCCAAAAUCCAGGACCAUUAACUCAGGGCUGAACUCACUCCAUCUUUUCAGAUCAAUAUUUAACUGCAUAUUUUCUCCAAGUGCUGGUUUAAGCAAUUCCCACAUAAAGGAAUCAGAUGUUCAUCUUCUUCAGAUGUUGGGAGAGAAAAAGAUAAAAAGAGUUACAUGGCUGUAAAAUGUGAUUGUGACUAUCCAGACCAGUUUGUUCCUUGAUCAAGAAUGUAAUUUUUUUUUUUUUUAAUGUAGUGAAGGCUUUCUUUUUACAGUGUCUACAUGGUGUCAUUUUCUUUUGCUGUUCCAUUUCUAAAGAUAACUGUGUUUGGAGAAGCUGUUACGUGUUUCUGUCACUCCAUAGCACAGGGUGCUGCAGAUCAGAAUGAAGAAAAGCAGCUGAAGAAAGGAAAGCUGAUCCUGUGGUGGGUGAGCAGCAGGCCACAGGGUUGGCUUUUGGUUCCCCACUUUCCCAGAGCACUGGCCUGGCAUCAGAGAUGCCCAAGCUCCUCACCCUCUGCCUUGUCUUCCCUUGGAUCCUGUUGGAUUUGGAAUCACAGCAUAGUUUGUAUUGGAAGGGACCUUAAAGCUCAUCCAGUUCUACCCCCUGCCAUGGGUAGGAACCCCUGCCACUGUCCCAGGUUGCUCCAAGCCAACCCAACCUGGCCUUGGACACUUCCAGGGAUGGGCAGCCACAGCUUUGUCUCCCCUCCCUGCUCAGUGCUGCAGGGCAUGGUGCCAGGCAGGACCAGGCUGCUGGGGGCAGGAGGCACAGGGUGGUCUGGUUGUGGGGAGCCCCUUUAGCGUGGACUGAGGUGCCCAGGUCAAGUGCUCAGUUUCAGGAGAGUUUUUGGGCUUCCUCCUUCACAUGGCUGAAGCACAGCCAUGGAGAGGGGAGCCUCUCACAACCUCCUGGGGGUACCUGCAACAGGUGAUGUAGGCAGAGACCUUGGCUUGUGCUGCCUCAGAAUUCUGGGAUGUAAAUAAGUUGUCACUUAACAACAGUGGGAACUGCAACACUUGGAGUUCUGGGAAAAUCCUGUGCACCCCAAGUAGGCACUGUAGUUAUGUAAAACACACUUAAGAUAUUAAUUGACUCCAAGAGAUUGUAUUUUGUGUUUUAUGUAUUUUGUGUUUCCCAGACAGUGGGGAGCAAGAGGGCAUUUGGUUCUGCAAGAUGUUUAUCCAGAUCUGAAAACAUCAUCAUGGAAGUUUAGGAAGAGGUGAUGUCCCACUGCAGCCAGGUGGAAGGGAGAGCCAGGUGUAGAUCUCCUGUGUUCUAAUGACUUCAGAAAAAUUGCUGCUUGUCUUCCCUCCCCCACAAGGCUGAAUCCCAGCACCCCAGAUUGUCGUGACUGCCUGGGAUUGGUGACAUCUCCAGUGAAAUGUGUUGGAGCAUCAAAGCAGAGUGGGAGAAGCACAGCCUGGCUCCGGGAGCCAGAAAUAGGAAUCCCCCAACACAUCUGAUUCCAGCCAUAGGACCCAACACCUCAGCUAACCCUUUCAGGUAACACACAGAAAGGGCCAGGCUGUGCUGCUGUUGGUUCCUGCCAUGGGCAAAGGUGAGGUUUGUGAGGUGUGCUGGGAUCCCCAGGAGCGAUGGGCUGUGUUUUUCAAGCAUCCUCAGCUGUUGGUCUAAGGUUAUUUCUUUGAUUUCCCAAGCCCAGAGGCAAAUGACUGUUUCUGUGUACUAAGCAUCAAUUCUUUUCCUUUUGUUCUUAUCCUUUCUCCUCUCCACAGUUUUCCUCUUGCUUUGAAUUCUCUCAGACCGCUGCCAUCUCACUUCCCCUGGCACAGGAGAAAAUGUGGUGGUGUUUACAGAGCAGAAGCACUGGGACUCAGGAGAUGUGAAAGGUGGCUCUGCUGGCUCUACCUUCAACACCUCUCCAUGGUUCUGACUUCCUGUCAGGAUAACCUGGACUAAAAUCCCUCUGUGCUUCUCCUGUGCAAUCCUAUGGUAUCUAACACAACCCACAACCUCAGACUCUGUCAACCUGGCACUCCAGGAGCUCCACCUUCCUCUCAGCCAUCUCAGGGAACUCAGCUCAGUGUUUGGAAGCUCUGCCUCCAUUUAUGACCUUCCCUGAUUCCAGUGAGGAGCUGGAACUGCUGUUGACCUCAGGAAUGACAGAAGUAUAUGCUGGGGUUGGAGGGUUUCUGGCAUAUGACCUGCUAACCUAGAAUUUGCUUGGCAAAGUCCAGAGGAUGACUUUUAACCUCAGAGCAGUUUGCAAAACCACAUCUGUGACCAAUAAAUGUGAAAAAUAAAUGGAAAGAUAAAUCUAGCCCCUGUUGAAGGAUGAAAGACAGCACAUCUUGCUGGGCACUGGUGCUGGAAUCAGGAUGGAGAUUGGGAAUAAUCGGACAGGCCAUGUGCCAGAUGUUGUCCAUGAAUGGAGCCAAUGCCUCACACAAGGGAGGCAGCACAGCAGGUUAAAGUGAAGGUAUCUCAUAGCUCUAAGUCUUAAACUUAACGAGCCACAUCUUUAUUUGUGCUGCAGCCCCUUCUUAUCCAAAAUUGCCUUUACCAGCUGCCAGAGGAUGCCUGGUAACGGAAAAUUCUCUGGAUAACAAUAAAUUGGUGUAACGAUUGAGUGUCACCUCACAUCCCGCUAAGCAAUAGAGAAAUCACGAUGAGAAAAAUAGGCACGACCAGAGUGGCACUGAACAGUGCAAUCCUAAUUCCAUCACCCUUCUUGUGGGCGACAGAUAACCCAGUGCAAUUUACAGUCGCUCUGAAGCGGCUCCAAGUCUCAGCAGGAGUCGGGAAAGCUCAGUGUAGCCUCGGGACUGAGGAGUCGCAAAGAUCAGGCGAGUUGUUGUUCCAUAACCUUGCCUCUGCACCAAAACUAGGGGACUGGUUUGGAAUGGGAAGCACUCCAAGCAAAACACAAAAUUUUAAUCACCAAAAUAAGGUCCUCUUCUGGCUCCCUCUCUGGAGAAUAGUCUGUCUCUGAUCAUUGUGCACAGACUCCCAAAGAAGGUAAAUUUUGGAUUUAAAUCUCUAUGUCAGCAUGUGAAUGACAGCGUUAAAUCUUGGCUGUAAGGCUGAGAUAUCUCCAAGAGGAGAAAAACACUUUUUCCACUUAAGUGGCUGAGGUAGAGGAGGUAAAUAUAUUGUCUCCCACUAUUAAAGGGCGAGGAAAUCAUUUAUACAUGUGCAUUACACCUUUGCACCUAACAGUGGAGUUAUUUUUUAUAUUCAAGAGUCUAAAAGUUUAGAAAUACCAACAUUAAGGCGGCCUAUGCAACUGUAAUUUGUCCCUUCCAUGCAUUUGCAUUAUGAUACAGUAUUUAAUUCUAAUUAGAUCACACGCUGUUCUUUCAACAGGUUCCUGGCCUCACUCAUUGUACAGAAUAGACCGUGCUCACUAAGUAAUAAUUUUAUUUUCUCCUCGCUGUUCACUAUGUGGCCUGUGCUUUAUUUACAGCAGACUAUUCAAAUAUUGUUCUGAAGACAGAUUUAUUCAUUUCCUCCUGAGCUUUUCCAUGGGACUCAUCACUAUGGUAUCCAAGUGCUUCAGAAACUCUAAUUCAUUUUCUCAACACUGUAGUGAGAACUGGUGUUGCCCUUAUUUUACAGACGAGGAACUUGGGUGUACAGGCAAAAUAGUAAAAAAUAUCUUUUCAUUUCAGAGAUCCAAUUAGAAAUACUCAAUGGCCUGAUUUUGUCAGAAAGUAGAACAUGGCCAGGCAUCUAAUUGAGUCAGUAGUUGUAUAAAUUCUCAGUUAUUGCAGAUAUAUCCGCAAGAGUUCUUCAUUUCUGCAAGUCAGGCUUCAAAAUGUCAGCCCAGGCACCUGGGCAGUGCUGACUGCAAAAUUAGUGGAGCACUGGGCAGGCUCUGUUUAUAGACUGUGCUUUGCAUCCCACAGAUUCCAGAGGCUAAAAAUCCUUUCUGAAAGCAGCAGUCACCUGCCCCAGCCACAGCGCUGUGCUUGCUUGCCCAGCCGUUCCUCACAAGGUGCACAAAACAGUUUGAGUUUUGCAGUAAAUGAGGUGGAAGUUGUUCAGGCACUUGCCUGGGUUCCCUGACCUUAGUUCAGUGUCUGAGCCUGGCAUAUCCUUCUGCACUGGUUGCCUUUAUCCUGGUGUUUGAUAACUGGGGAGUGUGUUACUGUGCAGCCUGAGUACUGUUGCUUUAUGGAAUAUGUACUUCCUUCCCAAGUAGAGAUAACGCCAGUAAUGUAAUCCUGGGUUGACAUCGAUGCAGGCCAUCAGCAAUGUGGAAAUUUCCCUCUGUGAGGGAUGUCAUGGCUGGCACAAGCUCCAGCACUCCAAGGGGGUGAGGUAUAUUCUUAGAGUAUUUCAGGUACCUGCUGACUGUUUUCCAGGUGGUCUUCAUUCCCAUUCUUAAAUCCUCACCUUUCUGCUCUGCCUCCUUCCUCCAGUUUCUGUCAUUCCCAUUACUACAUCACUGUCUCUACUGAAUUCCCUCUUCCCAAAGGCCAUGUUGCAUGCCGCACCCAGACUUGGGGUCCUUUUCCCUUGCCCCACGCCAGCUCUCCAUCUGAUCCCCUUUGCCCAGCAAGCUCUCCCUCAAACCUUGAGCAGAGCACAGGGACAGCUCCUAGUCUUCCCAGGUUGCACAUCCUCCUCCCAGCAACUUCUCCCAUUUCCACUCUGGUUUAAAGUCUUCUCCCAGCGGCCUGGCUUCCAGACUCUUUCUUAUGAGCUUUGCUUUAUCCCUCCCUCCAGGCAGACCUGUUUUUCCUUCUGGCUCAUUCCCUUUCACCACCCUGGAGAACCUGUCUCUCUCCAGAGCCUCUGUGCCUGCCAACGUACCUGUCCCAGACCCAGUUCCUGUCCCCACUGUGUGUUUUUCAAGGAGCUUCCUGCUCUGUGUUUCCCAAGAAGACUGGAAGGACAGGUCCGCUCUUCCUACCUGCAGACAUGGCAUGGUCCAGAGCAGCCAGGAACUGGAGCUGCAGGUCCAGCUCUGAUCCCACAGCCCUGGGCUGUGGAGAGGAUGGAGCUGCUGGGGAGUGGAAGCGCCAGGAAGCCCCUGCCAAAAACCAGCAGGACUUUCAGGAGGGUUUUCAUAGCAGGGUUUGAGGGAACACCUCUGACAAAGUGGCCACUCUCAUUUUCAGACUAGAAAAUCCCUGACAGAAGGAACAGAAGGAGAAAUAUUUAUAAUUUAACCCAAGGUAUGAACUUCAGAUGCCUAAAUUUCAGCACAGUGGUUAGGCUGGCCCUAUUAAACUGCGACUGAGGGCAGGAUUUUACAACGGGAAUUGCUAACCAGCUUUAAUAGGAGUUACACUACAGUCCUGCCUUUUAAUCACCACUUCCAUUUUCAGGAUAAAUUGCAGCUGGUUGCUGGUAAUCCUUGUGGCAUAUCAGAUAGCAGCGUAGCUCGGCAAGGGUAAGCUGGAGAAACCCAAACAUCCUUCUGAGGAGGUAAUUAUUCCAUUGUGAAAAUGCCCCGGGAUAUUUUUAGUGGCCAAACCCCCUGUUUCCUGACAGAAACAUAAAAUAAUGAAGCAAGCUUCACAAGGAGAGAUGCCUCAGACACCUGUAUUAGCUGGUGCUUUGCAGUCACGUCAGCGUUUAAUUUGCUGUGUGCAUCCCCACAUCCCUGUACAGCAAAAUCCACACCUGCGUUUGGGGCACUGUGCACUCUGCCAGCCUCUGCCUCGCAGAAAACCUUCUCCAUAAACAAAUCUGCAAAUCCCGCUGGAUCAAGAAGAAUUUCACGGGAAUAUAGAGCUGCCUGCAACAAGAGGGACACCCUUGCCACACACACCGAGGUUAUCAAGGGAAACUUUCCUUGACAGGAGUCUCACAACCAGCGUUAAAGCCUGUUUUUUGGGGAACAGAUUAUUUAAGUUUCAUUUAAAAAUGUUUUGCAGGGGAUGUACCCAUAUUUCACAUGCUGCAGUGCCCCAGGGGUCAGGCUCUCUCCUGGUUACCUCCAGCCCUGAUCCCAUGUAAUUUAUGUCCUGAAAGACAAUUCAAUUAGUCAAUAGUAAAAUGAACCAGGACACCGUGUGUAUUGUAAAAAUAUAAUUUAGUGGGAAACAAGCUGAGAUGGAAAAAAUAUCAGAGUACACUCCAUAUGAUUAAUGAAGGAGGAAUGUAUAUUUACAGCUUUUAUUGUGUCCUUUCUAAGGAGACUGGAUCUGGCAGUAGGGCUGGAACGGGCUGGUAACGAUGCGGCAUUCUAGUGAUUUGGAUUUGAAUGGAAAAUGCUGUAUAAAACUAAUUACCCCCAGGAGGAUGAAAAUACAUUGCAUUUGCCUUUUA
This is a non-coding RNA of Taeniopygia guttata (zebra finch), 11863 nucleotides long. Lineage: Eukaryota; Metazoa; Chordata; Aves; Passeriformes; Estrildidae. The record is from RefSeq and is a predicted model, not a curated record.